Molecule: ribosomal RNA, 253 nt
Filed under: uncultured bacterium
Lineage: Bacteria
Description: partial 16S ribosomal RNA
Rfam family: Bacterial small subunit ribosomal RNA
Source: RNAcentral
UACGAAGGGGACUAGCGUUGUUCGGAAUCACUGGGCGUAAAGCGCACGUAGGCGGAUUCGUAAGUCAGGGGGGAAAUCCCGGGGCUCAACCUCGGAACUGCCUUUGAUACUGCGGGUCUUGAGUCCGAUAGAGGUGGGUGGAAUUCCUAGUGUAGAGGUGAAAUUCGUAGAUAUUAGGAAGAACACCGGUGGCGAAGGCGGCCCACUGGAUCGGUACUGACGCUGAGGUGCGAAAGCGUGGGGAGCAAACAGG